GACGAACGCUGGCGGCGUGCUUAACACAUGCAAGUCGAGCGGUAAGGCCCUUUCGGGGGUACACGAGCGGCGAACGGGUGAGUAACACGUGGGUGACCUGCCCUCAGCUCUGGGAUAAGCCUGGGAAACCGGGUCUAAUACUGGAUAUGACUCCAUGACGCAUGUUGUGGGGUGGAAAGCCUUGUGCGGCUGAGGAUGGGCCCGCGGCCUAUCAGCUUGUUGGUGGGGUGANGGCCUACCAAGGCGACGACGGGUAGCCGGCCUGAGAGGGCGACCGGCCACACUGGGACUGAGACACGGCCCAGACUCCUACGGGAGGCCAGCAGUGGGGAAUCUUGCGCAAUGGGCGAAAGCCUGACGCAGCGACGCCGCGUGAGGGAUGACGGCCU
RNAcentral lists this ribosomal RNA (389 nucleotides) under uncultured bacterium. Its description in RNAcentral is "bacterial SSU rRNA". It matches the Rfam family "Bacterial small subunit ribosomal RNA", at positions 28 to 417 of the family's 1533-position model. The record is from RNAcentral.